Molecule: ribosomal RNA, 805 nt
Filed under: uncultured bacterium
Lineage: Bacteria
Description: bacterial SSU rRNA
Rfam family: Bacterial small subunit ribosomal RNA
Source: RNAcentral
UGCAAGUCGAACGGCAGCGCGGGGCAACCUGGCGGCGAGUGGCGAACGGGUGAGUAAUAUAUCGGAACAUACCCUAGAGUGGGGGAUAACGUAGCGAAAGUUACGCUAAUACCGCAUACGCACUAAGGUGGAAAGUGGGGGAUCGCAAGACCUCAUGCUCAUGGAGUGGCCGAUAUCUGAUUAGCUAGUUGGUGAGGUAAAGGCUCACCAAGGCGACGAUCAGUAGCUGGUCUGAGAGGACGACCAGCCACACUGGAACUGAGACACGGUCCAGACUCCUACGGGAGGCAGCAGUGGGGAAUUUUGGACAAUGGGGGCAACCCUGAUCCAGCAAUGCCGCGUGAGUGAAGAAGGCCUUCGGGUUGUAAAGCUCUUUUGUCAGGGAAGAAACGGUGGUCUCUAAUAUAGACUGCUAAUGACGGUACCUGAAGAAUAAGCACCGGCUAACUACGUGCCAGCAGCCGCGGUAAUACGUAGGGUGCAAGCGUUAAUCGGAAUUACUGGGCGUAAAGCGUGCGCAGGCGGUUAUAUAAGCCAGAUGUGAAAUCCCCGGGCUCAACCUGGGAACUGCAUUUGAGACUGUAUGGCUAGAGUGUGUCAGAGGGGGGUAGAAUUCCACGUGUAGCAGUGAAAUGCGUAGAUAUGUGGAGGAAUACCGAUGGCGAAGGCAGCCCCCUGGGAUAACACUGACGCUCAUGCACGAAAGCGUGGGGAGCAAACAGGAUUAGAUACCCUGGUAGUCCACGCCCUAAACGAUGUCUACUAGUUGUCGGGUCUUAAUUGACUUGGUAACGCAGCUAACGCG